GAUGAACGCUGGCGGCGUGCCUAAUACAUGCAAGUCGAACGCAUAGCGAAAGGUGCUUGCACCUUUCAAGUGAGUGGCGAACGGGUGAGUAACACGUGGACAACCUGCCUCAAGGCUGGAGAUAACAUUUGGAAACAGAUGCUAAUACCGAAUAAAACUUAGUGUCGCAUGACACAAAGUUAAAAGGCGCUUCGGCGUCACCUAGAGAUGGAUCCGCGGUGCAUUAGUUAGUUGGUGGGGUAAAGGCCUACCAAGACAAUGAUGCUUAGCCGAGUUGAGAGACUGAUCGGCCACAUUGGGACUGAGACACGGCCCAAACUCCUACGGGAGGCUGCAGUAGGGAAUCUUCCACAAUGGGCGAAAGCCUGAUGGAGCAACGCCGCGUGUGUGAUGAAGGCUUUCGGGUCGUAAAGCACUGUUGUAUGGGAAGAACAGCUAGAAUAGGAAAUGAUUUUAGUUUGACGGUACCAUACCAGAAAGGGACGGCUAAAUACGUG
This 497-nucleotide ribosomal RNA is filed under the name uncultured bacterium. Its description in RNAcentral is "partial 16S ribosomal RNA". It matches the Rfam family "Bacterial small subunit ribosomal RNA", at positions 28 to 507 of the family's 1533-position model. The record is from RNAcentral.